UGGGGAAUAUUGCACAAUGGAGGGAACUCUGAUGCAGCGACGCCGCGUGAACGAAGAAGGCUUUCGCGUCGUAAAGUUCUUUUAUAUGGGAAGAUAAUGACGGUACCAUAAGAAAAAGCCCCGGCUAACUACGUGCCAGCAGCCGCGGUAAUACGUAGGGGGCUAGCGUUGUCCGGAAUCACUGGGCGUAAAGGGUUCGCAGGCGGAAAUGCAAGUCAGGUGUAAAAGGCAGUAGCUUAACUACUGUAAGCAUUUGAAACUGCAUAUCUUGAGAAGAGUAGAGGUAAGUGGAAUUUUUAGUGUAGCGGUGAAAUGCGUAGAUAUUAAAAAGAAUACCGGUGGCGAAGGAGGGUUACUGGGCUCAUUCUGACGCUGAGGAACGAAAGAGUGGGUAGCAAACAGG
Molecule: ribosomal RNA, 403 nt
Filed under: bacterium
Lineage: Bacteria
Description: partial 16S ribosomal RNA
Rfam family: Bacterial small subunit ribosomal RNA
Source: RNAcentral